RNAcentral lists this transfer RNA (73 nucleotides) under Ailuropoda melanoleuca (giant panda). It matches the Rfam family "tRNA". From Rfam's summary of the family: Transfer RNA (tRNA) molecules are approximately 80 nucleotides in length. Their secondary structure includes four short double-helical elements and three loops (D, anti-codon, and T loops). Further hydrogen bonds mediate the characteristic L-shaped molecular structure. tRNAs have two regions of fundamental functional importance: the anti-codon, which is responsible for specific mRNA codon recognition, and the 3' end, to which the tRNAs corresponding amino acid is attached (by aminoacyl-tRNA synthetases). tRNAs cope with the degeneracy of the genetic code in two manners: having more than one tRNA (with a specific anti-codon) for a particular amino acid; and 'wobble' base-pairing, i.e. permitting non-standard base-pairing at the 3rd anti-codon position. The record is from Rfam by way of RNAcentral. Lineage: Eukaryota; Metazoa; Chordata; Mammalia; Carnivora; Ursidae.
ACCUGGCUGGCUCAGUUGGUAGAGCAUGCGACUCUUGAUCUCAGGGUUGUGAGUUUGAGACCCACACUGGGUA